This 468-nucleotide ribosomal RNA is filed under the name uncultured bacterium. RNAcentral describes it as "partial 16S ribosomal RNA". It matches the Rfam family "Bacterial small subunit ribosomal RNA", at positions 28 to 507 of the family's 1533-position model. The record is from RNAcentral.
GACGAACGCUGGCGGCGUGCUUAACACAUGCAAGUCGAACGGAAAGGCCCUGCUGUUUUGGGGUGCUCGAGUGGCGAACGGGUGAGUAACACGUGAGUAACCUGCCCUUGACUUUGGGAUAACUUCAGGAAAAUGGGGCUAAUAACGGAUAGGAGCUCCUGCUGCAUGGUGGGGGUUGGAAAGUUUCGGCGGUUGGGGAUGGACUCGCGGGUUAUCAGAUUGUUGGUGGGGUAGUGGCGUACCAAGGCUUUGACGGGUAGACGGCCUGAGAGGGUGACCGGCCACAUUGGGACUGAGAUACGGCCCAGACUCCUACGGGAGGCAGCAGUGGGGAAUAUUGCACAAUGGGCGGAAGCCUAAUGCAGCAACGCCGCGUGCGUGAUGACGGCCUUCGGGUUGUAAACCGCUUUCGCCUGUGACGAAGCGUGAGUGACGGUAAUGGGUAAAGAAGCACCGGCUAACUACGUG